CAGCAGCCACGGUAAUACGAAGGGGGCUAGCGUUGCUCGGAAUUACUGGGCGUAAAGGGCGCGUAGGCGGGCAAUUAAGUCGGGGGUGAAAGCCCGGGGCUCAACCUCGGAAUUGCCUUCGAUACUGGUUGUCUUGAGUGUGAGAGAGGUGUGUGGAACUCCGAGUGUAGAGGUGAAAUUCGUAGAUAUUCGGAAGAACACCAGUGGCGAAGGCGACACACUGGCUCACUACUGACGCUGAGGCGCGAAAGCGUGGGGAGCAAACAGGAUUAGAUACCCCCGUAGUCCCUGUCUCUUAUAC
RNAcentral lists this ribosomal RNA (301 nucleotides) under uncultured bacterium. RNAcentral's name for it is "partial 16S ribosomal RNA". It matches the Rfam family "Bacterial small subunit ribosomal RNA", at positions 509 to 807 of the family's 1533-position model. The record is from RNAcentral.